RNAcentral lists this long non-coding RNA (398 nucleotides) under Homo sapiens (human). RNAcentral's name for it is "HSALNT0319882". The record is from RNAcentral. Lineage: Eukaryota; Metazoa; Chordata; Mammalia; Primates; Hominidae.
UGUAGAUGUAAAAUGUAAUUUAAAAUAUUUUUUCAUGGCUGAAGAGGCCCAGGAAAGUCAUAUUGUGGACACGUGAAAAGCACAAUGAAUGAGUAUGGGUAUAUUAGAAGGUGAGAAGCUCUGUGGAGGAAGAAAAGGAAGUGUGAUAAACUGUCGGGAAAAGGAAAACACUAUGUGGAAGCAAGACACACAGGGAAAACAUCCUGUGAUGACAAAGGCAGAGAUUCGAGUGCUGCAGCUGCAAGCAAAGGCACACCAGGGAUUGAAGGCCAUCACCAGAAGCUGGGAAGAGACAAGGAGGGAUUGGAACAUGGCCCUGCUGUCACCUUGAUUUUGAACAUCUAACCUCCAGAACUACAUUUAUUGAAUACCUGCUAUGGGUCUGAGCAAUGUAUGAG